CGGGAUGUAGCGCAGUUGGCUAGCGCGCAGCGUUCGGGUCGCUGAGGUCGGAGGUUCAAGUCCUCUCAUCCCGACCA
RNAcentral lists this transfer RNA (77 nucleotides) under Candidatus Peregrinibacteria bacterium. Its description in RNAcentral is "tRNA-Pro". It matches the Rfam family "tRNA". Rfam says of the family: Transfer RNA (tRNA) molecules are approximately 80 nucleotides in length. Their secondary structure includes four short double-helical elements and three loops (D, anti-codon, and T loops). Further hydrogen bonds mediate the characteristic L-shaped molecular structure. tRNAs have two regions of fundamental functional importance: the anti-codon, which is responsible for specific mRNA codon recognition, and the 3' end, to which the tRNAs corresponding amino acid is attached (by aminoacyl-tRNA synthetases). tRNAs cope with the degeneracy of the genetic code in two manners: having more than one tRNA (with a specific anti-codon) for a particular amino acid; and 'wobble' base-pairing, i.e. permitting non-standard base-pairing at the 3rd anti-codon position. The record is from RNAcentral. Lineage: Bacteria; Candidatus Peregrinibacteriota.